UNGCUUUUAACACUAAGUAAUGUUGCCA
Molecule: non-coding RNA, 28 nt
Filed under: Mus musculus (house mouse)
Lineage: Eukaryota; Metazoa; Chordata; Mammalia; Rodentia; Muridae
Source: RNAcentral